RNAcentral lists this long non-coding RNA (199 nucleotides) under Ricinus communis (castor bean). Its description in RNAcentral is "long non-coding RNA (RCOM_LNC001902)". The record is from RNAcentral. Lineage: Eukaryota; Viridiplantae; Streptophyta; Magnoliopsida; Malpighiales; Euphorbiaceae.
UUGUACCAAGAUUGAUAGCCCUUAGCAUCGGCAUUUAGCCAAAAAAUCAACCUCAUUGGCGCCAAACCUCUAACUUUUCGAGCAAUUUCAAGCAUAGAUAUUGGUAUGGUUGGACUCCUGGAAGUGUGGGCUUGGAUUUGGUACCCUCGGAUCGGAUCUUUAUCGCUGUCAGAAAUUUUCCAGAGAUGGGCUCCAUGAC